Molecule: ribosomal RNA, 460 nt
Filed under: uncultured bacterium
Lineage: Bacteria
Description: partial 16S ribosomal RNA
Rfam family: Bacterial small subunit ribosomal RNA
Source: RNAcentral
CCUACGGGAGGCAGCAGUGAGGAAUAUUGGUCAAUGGGCGCGAGCCUGAACCAGCCAAGUAGCGUGAAGGAUGACUGCCCUACGGGUUGUAAACUCUUUUUAUAAAGGAAUAAAGUGAGGCACGUGUGCCUGUUUGUAUGUACUUUAUGAAUAAGGAUCGGCUAACUCCGUGCCAGCAGCGGCGGUAAUACGGAGGAUCCGAGCGUUAUCCGGAUUUUUUGGGUUGAAAGGGAGCGUAGAUGGGUUGUUACGUCAGUUGUGAAAGUUUGCGGCUCAAACGUGGAAUUGCAAUUGAUACUGGCUGUCUUGAGUGCAGUUGAGGUAGGCGGAAUUCGUGGUGUAGCGGUGAAAUGCUUAGAUAUCACGAAGAACUCCGAUUGCGAAGGCAGCCUACUAAACUGCCACUGACGUUGAUGCUCGAAAGUGUGGGUAUCAAACAGGAUUAGAUACCCGUGUAGUC